Molecule: ribosomal RNA, 535 nt
Filed under: uncultured bacterium
Lineage: Bacteria
Description: bacterial SSU rRNA
Rfam family: Bacterial small subunit ribosomal RNA
Source: RNAcentral
AGCUAAUAGAUACCCUGGUAGUCCACGCCGUAAACGAUGAAUGUUAGCCGUCGGGCAGUUUACUGUUCGGUGGCGCAGCUAAACGCAUUAAACAUUCCGCCUGGGGAGUACGGUCGCAAGAUUAAAAACUCAAAGGAAUUGACGGGGGCCCGCACAAGCGGUGGAGCAUGUGGUUUAAAUUCGAAGCAACGCGCAGAACCUUACCAGCCCUUGACAUCCCGAUCGCGGAUUACGGAGACGUUUUCCUUCAGUUCGGCUGGAUCGGAGACAGGUGCUGCAUGGCUGUCGUCAGCUCGUGUCGUGAGAAGUUGGGUUAAGUCCCGCAACGAGCGCAACCCUCGCCCUUAGUUGCCAGCAUUUAGUUGGGCACUCUAAGGGGACUGCCGGUGAUAAGCCGAGAGGAAGGUGGGGAUGACGUCAAGUCCUCAUGGCCCUUACGGGCUGGGCUACACACGUGCUACAAUGGUGGUGACAGUGGGCAGCGAGACCGCGAGGUCGAGCUAAUCUCCAAAAGCCAUCUCAGUUCGGAUUGCAC